UACGGAGGAUGCAAGCGUUAUCCGGAUUCAUUGGGUUUAAAGGGUGCGCAGGCGGGGGAAUAAGUCAGUGGUGAAAAGCUGCCGCUCAACGGUAGUCUUGCCGAUGAUACUGUUUUUCUUGAGUAUGGAUGAGGUAGGCGGAAUGUGUAGUGUAGCGGUGAAAUGCAUAGAUAUUACACAGAACACCGAUUGCGAAGGCAGCUUACUAAUCCAUCAUUGACGCUGAGGCACGAAAGCGUGGGGAUCAAACAGGA
Molecule: ribosomal RNA, 254 nt
Filed under: uncultured prokaryote
Description: partial 16S ribosomal RNA
Rfam family: Bacterial small subunit ribosomal RNA
Source: RNAcentral